GUAUUCGCCGGAGAUGGCAAGUAAAAUAGUGGUCCUGUGCGCUAUACUCCACAAUAUCGCGGUAAGGAGUAGCGUAGAGCUUCCUCAGACAGAGGAAUUGCCUGAUGAGGAGCCAGGGGUUGUCCGACACUUCGGUGGGGGGAGUGUUACAAGGAGGGGGAGCCAAGUCAGGGCAAGCAUUGUUGCUGAAUUUUUCAGCUGAAAGACCACACAAACUGAGGACGACCACAACGGCAAGCACCACAUGAUGCACCAGCUCAGCACCCUUCCCCUUCUCACUCCCCCUCCACUUCCCAGUCCCCCUCCCCUUCUCACUCCCCCUCCCCUUCUCACUCCCCCUCCCCUUCUCACUCCCCCUCAGCUUCCCAAUCCCCCUCAGCUUCCCAAUCACCCUCAGCUUCACAAUCCACCUCAGCUUCCCAGUCACCCUCAGCUUCCCAGGCCCCCUCAGCUUCCCAGGCCCCCUCAGCUUCCCAGGCCCACUCCACUUUCCACUCCCCUUCUCAGCCAACCUCUCCUUCUCUUUCUGUGACCCCUUCUCCUCCUUCCCAUACCCCUUCUCCUUCUACUUCCAACUCACCUUCUCAGCCCCCCUCACCCUCUAUUGGCCUAACAUUUUCACCGCCCCCCUCGCCCUCUCAAUCAGACCCACCCUCUGAAAUUACAUCCCCAAUCCAACCUCCUUCCCCCAUCCAGCCUCCUUCCCCCAUCAAGCCUCCUUCCCCCAUCCAGCCUCCUUCCCCCAUCCAGCCUCCUUCCCCAAUCCCUCCUCCUUCCCCCAUCCAGCCGCCUUCCCCCAUCCAGCCGCCAUCCCCACCCAGUGAAUGGGCAGAGGAAG
Pseudophryne corroboree (corroboree frog) is the source of this 838-nucleotide long non-coding RNA. RefSeq lists it as uncharacterized. The transcript is spliced from 3 exons. NCBI's taxonomy places the organism in Eukaryota, Metazoa, Chordata, Amphibia, Anura, Myobatrachidae. The record is from RefSeq and is a predicted model, not a curated record.